UGCCCUAGUAACGGCGAGUGAAGCGGCAACAGCUCAAAUUUGAAAUCUGGCGCAAGCCCGAGUUGUAAUUUGUAGAGGAUGCUUCUGGGUAGCGACCGAUCUAAGUUCCUUGGAACAGGACGUCAUAGAGGGUGAGAAUCCCGUAUGUGACCGGCCCGCACCCUUUACGUAGCUCCUUCGACGAGUCGAGUUGUUUGGGAAUGCAGCUCUAAAUGGGAGGUAAAUUUCUUCUAAAGCUAAAUACCGGCCAGAGACCGAUAGCGCACAAGUAGAGUGAUCGAAAGAUGAAAAGUACUUUGGAAAGAGAGUUAAAAAGCACGUGAAAUUGUUGAAAGGGAAGCGCCUGCAACCAGACUUCGCGGCAGUGUUCCGCCGGUCGUCUGACCGGUUCAUUCUCUGUCGCGAGGCCAUCAUCGUCUGGGCCCGCCGGAUAAGACCUUAGGAAUGUAGCUCACCUUCGGGGGAGUGUUAUAGCCUAGGGUGAUGCGGCGAGGCUCGGGCGAGGUCCGCGCUUCGGCAAGGAUGAUGGCGUAAUGGUUGUCGGCGGCCCGUCUUGAAACACGGACCAAGGAGUCUAACAUCUAUGCGAGUGUUCGGGUGUCAAACCCCUACGCGUAAUGAAAGUGAACGGAGGUGGGAACCGCAAGGUGCACCAUCGACCGAUCCUGAUGUCCUCGGAUGGAUUUGAGUAAGAGCAUAGCUGUUGGGACCCGAAAGAUGGUGAACUAUGCCUGAAUAGGGUGAAGCCAGAGGAAACUCUGGUGGAGGCUCGCAGCGGUUCUGACGUGCAAAUCGAUCGUCAA
RNAcentral lists this ribosomal RNA (803 nucleotides) under Septoria chelidonii. RNAcentral's name for it is "partial large subunit ribosomal RNA". It matches the Rfam family "Eukaryotic large subunit ribosomal RNA", at positions 76 to 908 of the family's 3401-position model. The record is from RNAcentral. Lineage: Eukaryota; Fungi; Ascomycota; Dothideomycetes; Mycosphaerellales; Mycosphaerellaceae.